AUCUAGAUGGCGAGUCCCAAAUAGGGCGAAACGCGCGUUCUGGAU
This is a non-coding RNA of Schistosoma mansoni, 45 nucleotides long. Lineage: Eukaryota; Metazoa; Platyhelminthes; Trematoda; Strigeidida; Schistosomatidae. The record is from Rfam.